GGGCGUUUAGCUCAGUGGUAGAGCGUUUCGUUGACAUCGAAAAGGCCGGAGGUCCGAUCCCUCCAACGCCCACAA
RNAcentral lists this transfer RNA (75 nucleotides) under Candidatus Wolfebacteria bacterium CG1_02_39_135. Its description in RNAcentral is "tRNA-Val". It matches the Rfam family "tRNA". Rfam says of the family: Transfer RNA (tRNA) molecules are approximately 80 nucleotides in length. The record is from RNAcentral. RNAcentral also lists the same sequence under 3 other names. Lineage: Bacteria; Candidatus Wolfeibacteriota.